Molecule: non-coding RNA, 483 nt
Organism: Fundulus heteroclitus (mummichog)
Lineage: Eukaryota; Metazoa; Chordata; Actinopteri; Cyprinodontiformes; Fundulidae
Source: the annotation of a RefSeq genome assembly
UCCAUGUGACUGACUCUGUGUGUUUGCAUAUGUGUCCUGCCUCUCUGCUCCCAGCUGUUAAGAGGUCAGUGUUGAUCAGUGGCUGUCCAGGCCUUUCAGAGCCACUGACACACCAGCAGCACAAUGAUGAUGUCACUGACUCUACUGCUGACCACCCUGGGACUCCUGGUUCACGGUUCCUCAGCAGAAAUCACCUUGACUCAGACUCCAGCAUCUCAGUCUGUUGUUCCAGGACAGACUGUCUCCAUCACAUGUAAAGCCAGUGCUGCUGUUGAUGAUGAUUUGCACUGGUACCUUCAGAAACCUGGAGAAGCUCCUAAACUCCUAAUUUAUAGUGCUGUAUCACGUGGGUCUGGAGUGUCUGACCGUUUCAGUGGAAGUGGAUAUGAUAUCGAUUUCACUCUGACCAUCAGCAGAGUUCAGGCUGAAGAUGCAGGAGUUUAUUACUGUCAACAUGAUGAGAACGUCCCGUUCACACAGUGA